AUUGAACGCUGGCGGCAGGCCUAACACAUGCAAGUCGAGCGGUAGAGAGGUGCUUGCAUCUCUUGAGAGCGGCGGACGGGUGAGUAAUGCCUAGGAAUCUGCCUAGUGGUGGGGGGAUAACGUUCGGAAACGGACGCUAAUACCGCAUACGUCCUACGGGAGAAAGCGGGGGAUCUUCGGACCUCGCGCCAUUAGAUGAGCCUAGGUCGGAUUAGCUAGUUGGUGAGGUAAUGGCUCACCAAGGCGACGAUCCGUAACUGGUCUGAGAGGAUGAUCAGUCACACUGGAACUGAGACACGGUCCAGACUCCUACGGGAGGCAGCAGUGGGGAAUAUUGGACAAUGGGCGAAAGCCUGAUCCAGCCAUGCCGCGUGUGUGAAGAAGGUCUUCGGAUUGUAAAGCACUUUAAGUUGGGAGGAAGGGUAGUAACCUAAUACGUUGCUACUUUGACGUUACCGACAGAAUAAGCACCGGCUAACUUCGUG
This 485-nucleotide ribosomal RNA is filed under the name uncultured bacterium. Its description in RNAcentral is "bacterial SSU rRNA". It matches the Rfam family "Bacterial small subunit ribosomal RNA", at positions 30 to 507 of the family's 1533-position model. The record is from RNAcentral.